GUGAAUCAUCGAAUUUUUGAACGCAAAUUGCACUCCCUGGUAUUCCGGGGAGCAUGCCUGUUUGAGGGUCGUUAGAAUAAAAAACGAAGUGUUGCUCUUUUUUUUUAGGGUGAUCGCGUCGGUAUGGAGCCGGCUUUCAAACGUUAAUUCAUGUCAAAGUGGCUUAAAAUUUAUCCAUCCGCUACGAUUAAAUCGUA
This 197-nucleotide unclassified non-coding RNA is filed under the name Glomeraceae sp. RNAcentral's name for it is "partial contains 5.8S ribosomal RNA and internal transcribed spacer 2". The stretch from base 1 to 71 matches the Rfam family "5.8S ribosomal RNA", at positions 84 to 154 of the family's 154-position model. Lineage: Eukaryota; Fungi; Glomeromycota; Glomeromycetes; Glomerales; Glomeraceae. The record is from RNAcentral.